GACGUAGGGUGCGAGCGUUGUCCGGAUUUAUUGGGCGUAAAGAGCUCGUAGGCGGCUUGUUACGUCGGCUGUGAAAACCCGCGGCUCAACCGCGGGCCUGCAGCCGAUACGGGCAGGCUAGAGUUCGGUAGGGGAGACUGGAAUUCCUGGUGUAGCGGUGAAAUGCGCAGAUAUCAGGAGGAACACCUAUGGCGAAGGCAGCACUCUGGUACGUGACUGACGCUGAGACGCGAAAGCGUGGGGAGCAAACAGG
This 253-nucleotide ribosomal RNA is filed under the name uncultured bacterium. RNAcentral's name for it is "partial 16S ribosomal RNA". It matches the Rfam family "Bacterial small subunit ribosomal RNA", at positions 524 to 776 of the family's 1533-position model. The record is from RNAcentral.